GACGAACGCUGGCGGCGUGCCUAACACAUGCAAGUCGAGCGAAUGAAGUUCCUUCGGGAAUGGAUUUAGCGGCGGACGGGUGAGUAACACGUGGGCAACCUGCCUCAUAGAGGGGAAUAGCCUUCCGAAAGGGAGAUUAAUACCGCAUAAGAUUGUAGUAUCGCAUGAUACAGCAAUUAAAGGAGCAAUCCGCUAUGAGAUGGGCCCGCGGCGCAUUAGCUAGUUGGUGAGGUAACGGCUCACCAAGGCGACGAUGCGUAGCCGACCUGAGAGGGUGAUCGGCCACAUUGGGACUGAGACACGGCCCAGACUCCUACGGGAGGCAGCAGUGGGGAAUAUUGCACAAUGGGGGAAACCCUGAUGCUGCAACGCCGCGUGAGUGAUGACGGCCUUCGGGUUGUAAAGCUCUGUCUUCAGGGACGAUAAUGACGGUACCUGAGGAGGAAGCCACGGCUAACUACGUG
Molecule: ribosomal RNA, 464 nt
Filed under: uncultured bacterium
Lineage: Bacteria
Description: partial 16S ribosomal RNA
Rfam family: Bacterial small subunit ribosomal RNA
Source: RNAcentral